AACGAACGCUGGCGGCAUGCCUAACACAUGCAAGUCGAACGAGACCUUCGGGUCUAGUGGCGCACGGGUGCGUAACGCGUGGGAACCUGCCCUUAGGUUCGGAAUAACUCCCCGAAAGGGGUGCUAAUACCGGAUAAUGUCUUCGGACCAAAGAUUUAUCGCCUUUGGAUGGGCCCGCGUUGGAUUAGCUAGUUGGUUGGGUAAAAGCCUACCAAGGCGACGAUCCAUAGCUGGUCUGAGAGGAUGAUCAGCCACACUGGGACUGAGACACGGCCCAGACUCCUACGGGAGGCAGCAGUGGGGAAUAUUGGACAAUGGGCGAAAGCCUGAUCCAGCAAUGCCGCGUGAGUGAUGAAGGCCUUAGGGUUGUAAAGCUCUUUUACCCGGGAUGAUAAUGACAGUACCGGGAGAAUAAGCUCCGGCUAACUCCGU
This 432-nucleotide ribosomal RNA is filed under the name uncultured bacterium. RNAcentral describes it as "partial 16S ribosomal RNA". It matches the Rfam family "Bacterial small subunit ribosomal RNA", at positions 29 to 506 of the family's 1533-position model. The record is from RNAcentral.